AUUCACAAGCUUCACAACAUUUUCAUGUGUAAUCUCCCUAAGCAACAUGAUUUCACGUAUGGCAGUAGGGGAGACGCCAUCUCCAUCCUUGGACUGCUUGAAUUUCUUAAUGGCAAUUGAUUUUCCACGAUUUGCAGGAGAUUUAGUUUUUGCCAGGAACACGAGACCAUAAGUGCCUUCACCAAUCUUGCCAAUAAGGUUGUACUGUUGCAGCCAUUCUGGCUUCUCAUUGUUGGAGUUAGUUGUGAUGCCUCUAUUGUUGGUCGUGGUGUUGCCAUCUCCCAUGGUUUCUGCAUAACAGCUUUGGCAGUAGGCGCCUUACAAGAUAGUAUGCCAGACUAACAUGGAAAUUGAAAAUCAAAAGGUGCACCAGUUUGCUACAGCUGUUUGUAUUGUUGUAAACCCCUGAUGGAGACGAUAAAUUGUCCCACAAAGCAAACUUGAGCACAAUGAAAAGAUCUUAAAGUUCCAAAUGUAUUGAUAUGGUGGUGUGGGAAGACUACUCCAAAGCUAAGAACUUUGGAAUCCCAGAAUUAACGGUAAUUCCUAACUGUCCUCCUAACCAAAUUAUCAAAUAACAGAAAUCAGCACCAUUUUUCCCACAAACAAAUAGUUUGUGCUGUUAGUCAGCUCCAGCCCCAGAACAUAAAAGCAAGGUGGAGUACUAGAGCUGUGCC
This 677-nucleotide unclassified non-coding RNA is filed under the name Hevea brasiliensis (rubber tree). Lineage: Eukaryota; Viridiplantae; Streptophyta; Magnoliopsida; Malpighiales; Euphorbiaceae. The record is from RNAcentral.